RNAcentral lists this ribosomal RNA (293 nucleotides) under uncultured eukaryote. RNAcentral describes it as "partial 18S ribosomal RNA". It matches the Rfam family "Eukaryotic small subunit ribosomal RNA", at positions 6 to 294 of the family's 1831-position model. The record is from RNAcentral.
GGUUGAUCCUGCCAGUCACAUAUGCUUGUCUCAAAGAUUAAGCCAUGCAAGUCUAAGUAUAAAAAUAUUUUAUAUUUGAAACUGCAGAUAGCUCAUUAAAUCAGUUAUAGUUUAUUUGAUGGUACCUUACUACUUGGAUAACCGUAGUAAUUCUAGAGCUAAUACAUGCGUAAAGUCCCGACUCGUGAGGGAAGGGAUGUAUUUAUUAGAUAAAAAACCAAUGCGGACUCUGUCCGGUUAUUUGGUGAUUCAUAAUAACUGUUCGAAUCGCAUGACUUAACGUCGGCGAUAGU